UAGUAACUGCGAGUGAAGAGGGAAAAGCUCAAAUUUAAAAUCUGGCGGGCUCUGUCCGUCCGAGUUGUAAUCUGGAGAAGCGUUUUCCGCGUCGGACCGUGCAUAAGUCUCCUGGAACGGAGCGUCAUAGAGGGUGAGAAUCCCGUCCAUGGCACGGACCGCCGAUGCUUUGUGAUACGUUUUCAAAGAGUCGAGUUGUUUGGGAAUGCAGCUCAAAAYGGGUGGUAAAUUCCAUCUAAAGCUAAAUAUUGGCGAGAGACCGAUAGCGAACAAGUACCGUGAGGGAAAGAUGAAAAGCACUUUGGAAAGAGAGUUAAACAGUACGUGAAAUUGUUGAAAGGGAAACGCUUGAAGUCAGUCGCGUCCGACGGAACUCAGCCUUGCUUCGGCCUGGUGUACUUUCUGUCGGACGGGUCAACAUCAGUUUUGACCGGUGGAGAAAGGUAGGGGGAAUGUAGCGCUGUUUCGGCGGCGUGUUAUAGCCCCUUGCUGCAUGCAUCGGUUGGGACUGAGGACCGCAGCACGCCUUUUUGGCCGGGGGUUCGCCCCACGUACCGUGCUUAGGAUGUUGGCAUAAUGGCUUUAAGCGACCCGUCUUGAAACACGGACCAAGGAGUCCAACAUGCUUGCGAGUGUUCGGGUGGAAAACCCUUGCGCGUAAUGAAAGUAACAGUUGGGAACCUCCGCAAGGGGGUGCACCGACGCCCGGCCCUGAAGUUCUCUGACGGUGCUGCGGUAGAGCAAGUAUGCUGGGACCCGAAAGAUGGUGAACUAUGCCUGAAUAGGGCGAAGCCAGAGGAAACUCUGGUGGAGGCUCGUAGCGAUUCUGACGUGCAAAUCGAUCGUC
This 847-nucleotide ribosomal RNA is filed under the name Phellinus betulinus. RNAcentral's name for it is "eukaryotic LSU rRNA". It matches the Rfam family "Eukaryotic large subunit ribosomal RNA", at positions 81 to 906 of the family's 3401-position model. Lineage: Eukaryota; Fungi; Basidiomycota; Agaricomycetes; Hymenochaetales; Hymenochaetaceae. The record is from RNAcentral.